GUAUUUUUCAGCAGUCUAAAUAUUAUUAGGCAUAUAUUUUAAUCGAUACGUUUACAUUCGUACUUUUUUAUUAUAAUAAUAGGUAAUGUUAGUGUUAAUAUUUAAUAAUAAUAUAGUAAAGGCACAGUACAUUUUAAAAUUAAUUAAAUUAUACUUAUAGAAUAGUAUUGUAGUAAUAUAGGUAGUACAACAUAAGACGUAUUAACUAAUUCGUAUGCGAUACAAUUUUGACUUGUUACAUGGUUAUUAAUAUUCAUAUUAUAAUGUGAGUAAGUAUAUAUACGUGCUAUCUACCUAGUAGAUAUAUAGGUACCUUACCUGCCACAAUUUAAAUAUACCUACUUUAAAAUAUUAAAUCUGUGUUAUAACUUCAGUAAAUGUAAAAUGUAAUAUAUUUUAAUGUAUGCUAGUAUCUAAUUAAUAAUUUAAUUACCUAUGCUAAACAGAAAUUAUUAUUCUUGUCUUUGCUGGGGUAUAAUUGUAUAAAUAUAGGCAAUGAUGAUUUAUUUUAGUAGGUAUAAAAAUAAAAAUAAUAAAAUACAAAUGAGAAAAUAAGUAGAUUAGGUAGGUUAUAUUGAGUACCACAAAAAUAUUGAGUAAAACAAACAAAAUAAUAGAAAAUUACAGAACUGAUAUUACAAUAUUAUAAAUACUGAAAUUUAGCGAACCUAAAAUUAAAUAUUAUAUAGGUAUCUAUGUCUAUUAACAUCUACUUAUAUAAAAUAUUAAGUCUUAUAGUUGUAUUUUCUUUAAGGUCUUUGUAUAUAAUAUUAUUACCUUAUAAUGUAGAUACUAUCACUAACAUUUAAUUAUAAUAAAAUCCUUAAAAUUAAAAUUUAUACAUUUUUUAACAUCUAUUUUCAUUGGCAUAUUUUAGUUGAUUUUAUUUUUUUGAGGGAGGGGGCCAAAUUUAUACUUUUAUUGCUAACACAUUUCGGUCAUUGUUUCUUUUUAAUGGUCGUGUUCUAUUUUUCCCCCUCACCCAUCGGCACUAACCUUUAAUAACUUGGUGUUUAAAGUAUUCAAUAAUUCAUAUUAAUUAAUAAUAGUUAUUGCAAUAGGUAACAAUUUAUUUUUUAUUUUUUGGCCUCUGGGUGUGUUUCUCCCAAAAUACACAAGAGCUAAUAAUUACAAUAGUCAAUUAUUUAAAUAAUACAUUCCAAAAUAAAAUACUAUUAAACUAAAAUAAAUAUAAUUGCGUUACAUAAUUUAAACUGGGCAUUAUUAUAGUAUUGAUUAUUCAGGGCUGUUCUUACAAACAUAAAUUUUGACUUUUAAACAGAAUUUAUAUAACUGACUGGUCUAGUGGUCAGUUAUCAUCCAUAAACUCAAUUUAAAAAUCAAAUAAACAAAAAUGUUUAUUUUGGAGUGAAUGGCCCUCAAUCAGUUGUUCAGUCAAAUUUCUAAAUUUCAAAUUAAUUAAUAAGGUACCUAAACAACUGACAGAAUGAAAAUUUACCUAUUACAUUUUGUAAAACAAGUAAAAAUAUGACUAGAUAAUAAAUAUAUAAAUGUACUUAAUAAAAAUUAAUAAAAAUUACUAAUCAGAAAAUUAUAUUGAUAUGCAUAAUCGACCUAUAAAAAUUUAUUUGGUAAGAAUCAUUAGAAACAAGAAAACAAGUAUUUUGUAAAAAAUUUCAGUUCUCUAUGAUUAUUUUUAACCAGUUUAUAAAAAAACAUAAAUAGUUA
RNAcentral lists this long non-coding RNA (1689 nucleotides) under Cinara cedri. Lineage: Eukaryota; Metazoa; Arthropoda; Insecta; Hemiptera; Aphididae. The record is from RNAcentral.